UUACCCAACACUAGAAGUUUC
This 21-nucleotide non-coding RNA is filed under the name Caenorhabditis elegans. The record is from RNAcentral. Lineage: Eukaryota; Metazoa; Nematoda; Chromadorea; Rhabditida; Rhabditidae.